UACGGGGGGAGCAAGCGUUGUUCGGAUUUACUGGGCGUAAAGGGCGCGUAGGCGGCCAGCACAAGUCAGUUGUGAAAUCCCUCGGCUUAACCGGGGAACUGCGUCUGAUACUGGAUGGCUUGAGUUCGGGAGAGGGAUGCGGAAUUCCAGGUGUAGCGGUGAAAUGCGUAGAUAUCUGGAGGAACACCGGUGGCGAAGGCGGCAUCCUGGACCGAAACUGACGCUGAGGAGCGAAAGCCAGGGGAGCAAACGGG
RNAcentral lists this ribosomal RNA (254 nucleotides) under uncultured bacterium. RNAcentral's name for it is "partial 16S ribosomal RNA". It matches the Rfam family "Bacterial small subunit ribosomal RNA", at positions 524 to 776 of the family's 1533-position model. The record is from RNAcentral.